GACGAACGCUGGCGGCGUGCUUAACACAUGCAAGUCGAACGAAGAGCGAUGGAAGCUUGCUUCUAUCAAUCUUAGUGGCGAACGGGUGAGUAACGCGUAAUCAACCUGCCCUUCAGAGGGGGACAACAGUUGGAAACGACUGCUAAUACCGCAUACGAUCCAAUCUCGGCAUCGGGACUGGAUGAAAGGUGGCCUCUAUUUAUAAGCUAUCACUGAAGGAGGGGAUUGCGUCUGAUUAGCUAGUUGGAGGGGUAACGGCCCACCAAGGCGAUGAUCAGUAGCCGGUCUGAGAGGAUGAACGGCCACAUUGGGACUGAGACACGGCCCAGACUCCUACGGGAGGCAGCAGUGGGGAAUCUUCCGCAAUGGACGAAAGUCUGACGGAGCAACGCCGCGUGAGUGAUGACGGCCUUCGGGUUGUAAAGCUCUGUUAAUCGGGACGAAUGGUUCUUGUGCGAAUAGUGCGAGGAUUUGACGGUACCAGAAUAGAAAGCCACGGCUAACUACGUG
This 510-nucleotide ribosomal RNA is filed under the name uncultured bacterium. RNAcentral's name for it is "partial 16S ribosomal RNA". It matches the Rfam family "Bacterial small subunit ribosomal RNA", at positions 28 to 507 of the family's 1533-position model. The record is from RNAcentral.